CUCCAAUUCUGCAUGUUACUUAGUGUGACUUGUUCUGUUUACUUACCCGUAUGCCAACUGGGGUUUGACAAUAUGUAGAUUGUAAUUUGUUAGCAUUGUUUAAAGUUCAAGGUUGAAAUGGUCUUGCUCCUAUACUUUCUUUUAGACUUUGUUUUCAACUAACAUGCUUUGAUUUUGGUAUUUUUAGACUAUCAAUAACUUGUUUUUAAUCUUAAAUUUCAUAGUCAUAAGGUUAUGUUUUAAGUGAAACUGGGUUCUUAUAAUGUUAUUGUGGAAGACUAGAGGGAUUGGAUGAUACACAUUGUUGUACUCUGAAAUGAACAAGCUUGCAGAGUAUAUUUUUGGAAAACGGGCAAGUCUUACUGUCUUAGAUAAUUUGGAAGUCAGAUACUGAAUGGGAAUAUUAUUGUGGUUGUUCUCUUAAAUAUUGUGUCUACAUUGAUGGCUUUUAAUGAGACAUAAAGCUUCAUGGGAGCAUUCUUCUUGCUGUGCUCUGGAAAGAAGAGCACCUUUUUCAUAUCAAUUUAUUUGACAUAACCCCAUCCUCUACUAUCACAGUUUUGCCCAUUUCCGGAUUGAAUGACCUUUUUUGCUGGUGGUGACAUCACUUUAUGAUUCAGGAAAAGGAAGAAAGAGCAAAGGAACGAGAAGAAGCA
Molecule: unclassified non-coding RNA, 656 nt
Filed under: Hevea brasiliensis (rubber tree)
Lineage: Eukaryota; Viridiplantae; Streptophyta; Magnoliopsida; Malpighiales; Euphorbiaceae
Source: RNAcentral